Molecule: non-coding RNA, 93 nt
Organism: Periconia macrospinosa
Lineage: Eukaryota; Fungi; Ascomycota; Dothideomycetes; Pleosporales; Periconiaceae
Source: the annotation of a GenBank genome assembly
GGCUUCUUGGCGCAACGGUAGCGCGUCAGAUUCCAGUUCACGAUUAAUGUUGGAAGUUCCUGAAGGUUACCUGUUCGAAUCAGGUAGAGGUCA